UACAGAGGUCUCAAGCGUUGUUCGGAUUCAUUGGGCGUAAAGGGUGCGUAGGCGGCGGAGCAAGUCUGAUGUGAAAUCCCGGGGCUCAACCCCGGAACUGCACUGGAUACUGCUCUGCUAGAGAUCUGGAGAGGAAACUGGAAUUUACGGUGUAGCAGUGAAAUGCGUAGAUAUCGUAAGGAAGGCCAGUGGCGAAGGCGAGUUUCUGGACAGAUUCUGACGCUGAGGCACGAAGGCCAGGGGAGCAAACGGG
Molecule: ribosomal RNA, 253 nt
Filed under: uncultured bacterium
Lineage: Bacteria
Description: partial 16S ribosomal RNA
Rfam family: Bacterial small subunit ribosomal RNA
Source: RNAcentral